GACGAACGCUGGCGGCGUGCUUAACACAUGCAAGUCGUGCGGUAAGGCCCUUUCGGGGGUACACGAGCGGCGAACGGGUGAGUAACACGUGAGCAACCUGCCCUUCACUGUGGGAUAACUGGAGGAAACGGUGGCUAAUACCGGAUAUGACUUCAUCACGCAUGUGGGGUGGUGGAAAGCCUUCGGGUGGUGGGGGAGGGGCUCGCGGUCUAGCAGCUUGUUGGUGGGGUGAUGGCCUACCAAGGCUUCGACGGGUAGCCGGCCUGAGAGGGUGACCGGCCACACUGGGACUGAGAAACGCCCCAGACUCCUACGGGAGGCAGCAGUGUGGAAUAUUGGACAAUGGGCGAAAGCCUGAUCCAGCAACGCCGCGUGAGGGAUGACGGCCUUCGGGUUGUAAACCUCUUUCGCCUGCGACGAAGCGAGAGUGAGGGUAGCAGGUAAAUAGGCACCGGCCAGCUACGUG
This 466-nucleotide ribosomal RNA is filed under the name uncultured bacterium. RNAcentral describes it as "partial 16S ribosomal RNA". It matches the Rfam family "Bacterial small subunit ribosomal RNA", at positions 28 to 507 of the family's 1533-position model. The record is from RNAcentral.